AGGACGAACGCUGGCGGCGUGCUUAACACAUGCAAGUCGAGCGGAAAGGCCCUUCGGGGUACUCGAGCGGCGAACGGGUGAGUAACACGUGAGUAACCUGCCCCUAGCUCUGGGAUAGCUCCGGGAAACCGGGAUUAAUACCAGAUACGACCACUUUAGACAUCUGUCGUGGUGGAAAGGAUUCCGGCUAGGGAUGGGCUCGCGGCCUAUCAGCUUGUUGGUGGGGUAACGGCCUACCAAGGCGACGACGGGUAGCCGGCCUGAGAGGGCGACCGGCCGACACUGGGACUGAGACACGGCCCAGACUCCUACGGGAGGCAGCAGUGGGAUAUUGCGCAAUGGGCGAAAGCCUGACGCAGCGACGCCGCGUGGGGGAUGAAGGCCUUCGGGUUGUAAACCCCUUUCAGCAGGGACGAAGCGAAAGUGACGGUACCUGCAGAAGAAGCGCCGGCUAACUACGUGCCAGCAGCCGC
This 473-nucleotide ribosomal RNA is filed under the name uncultured bacterium. RNAcentral's name for it is "SSU rRNA". It matches the Rfam family "Bacterial small subunit ribosomal RNA", at positions 26 to 518 of the family's 1533-position model. The record is from RNAcentral.